This is a non-coding RNA of Triticum urartu, 564 nucleotides long. The record is from RefSeq and is a predicted model, not a curated record. Lineage: Eukaryota; Viridiplantae; Streptophyta; Magnoliopsida; Poales; Poaceae.
AAGCUUUGCAUGCAAGUCGUGUGGCACGUGUACCUUGCUACUAGAACGUACCAUGGAUGGAAAAUGAAGCUGCUACCUACUCGUAAUCUCUCUACUAUAUAUACAUCACUCGACCAAUGUGCUAUGCAAAUCAAGUCUCACGCACAGCGCAAUUUGCUAGCCUGUCAAUCAUCGAAUAUCAUCGGCCGUACGUCCAUCAGCUGGGAGAAGACCGUCCAUUAAUCGUGCGACGACGAUGAGCUCCUCGGACGACGUCGCCGGUGGGUGCAAGAAGACUUCGUGGCCGGAGGUGGUCGGGCUGACCAUCAAGGAGGCCAAGGAGAUCAUCAUCAAGGACAAGCCUGACGCCGACAUCGUCGUCGUGCCGGUUGGUUCGGCGGUGACCGAAGACUUCAGGCCCAACCGCGUCCGCAUCUUCGCCGGCACUGUCGCCGAGAUCCCCCACGUUGGCUAGUUGGAUUGCCUUUGCUUGCUGUGGCCGGCAUAGAUGCUGGCUCAUAAAUAAAUCAAUAAUGGAGGAAUAAAAAUGUAUGGAAGUCAUAUGUUUGAUCAUUCAGUAAUCUA